This is a long non-coding RNA of Mercurialis annua (annual mercury), 637 nucleotides long. RefSeq lists it as uncharacterized. The transcript has 3 exons. NCBI's taxonomy places the organism in Eukaryota, Viridiplantae, Streptophyta, Magnoliopsida, Malpighiales, Euphorbiaceae. The record is from RefSeq and is a predicted model, not a curated record.
AAAUGGGUAAAUGGACCAAAAGAGCUGCAUAUACAAAAAAUUACACCAAAAGAGCAAAUGCCAUUCAAAAGGCUCAAAAGGUUUCCAACAUUAUCGGGAACAGAUUUUAAAUUUUUAUUUUGUGCUCUCGUUUUCUCUCUUUUAGGGUUUCAACAGCAGCAACAACCUUCAUCCACCUCCUCCGCCUCUACCACUGUGAAAUCAUCAUCACCAUCUGUUACUUCAAUUGAGCAGAUGCUUUCGAUUUUGAUUUAGACAUUUUGCGUCAGCUGUUAAUGUUGCAGACGAGGGAGGAGCUACUCAUGUAGCUAUAAUUGUAACCAAGAACUAGUGAAGCUUCCGGUAAUUUGUUUAUUCGCCAAUUCAUAUCUCGUCAUUUUAGUUUCAACUGCCAGCUCUUAUAGUCAUAUCUUGUCAUUUUAACCUCAGUUGUUUGAUAAACCAUUUUGACCAUCAGGCUAUGUUUAAGCAAUCUACAAAGAUUAGGUUUAUUAAGAAAGAAUUGUAAUUUCGCAAUGCUGUAUAGAUAAUACUUCAGCCGGCAUUGUUGUAGCUCAAGUAAAAUAAAUUUAUAGAGCUACAAUAAUAGUCUAGUGCAAUCCAAAUUAGAUUCUGAAUCUGAUGCUUCUGAUGGUGC